Molecule: small nucleolar RNA, 143 nt
Organism: Mastomys coucha (southern multimammate mouse)
Lineage: Eukaryota; Metazoa; Chordata; Mammalia; Rodentia; Muridae
Product: small nucleolar RNA SNORA48
Exons: 1
Source: RefSeq, a predicted model, not a curated record
CACUCCUGGCAGUGGGCAAAGAAACACCUUGUUAGUGGAGUUAUUCUUGCAUUAGUCAGGGGCAGAGCGGAUGGCAGUCCAUUGUUCAUCCUAGCCUGAUGCCUGGCUUGGUGGCCAAAGCUGUCUAUGCCUAGGAUUCAUAA